AGUGAACGCUGGCGGUAGGCCUAACACAUGCAAGUCGAACGGCAGCACAGUAAGAGCUUGCUCUUACGGGUGGCGAGUGGCGGACGGGUGAGGAAUACAUCGGAAUCUACUUUUUCGUGGGGGAUAACGUAGGGAAACUUACGCUAAUACCGCAUACGACCUACGGGUGAAAGCAGGGGUUCUUCGGACCUUGCGCGAUUGAAUGAGCCGAUGUCGGAUUAGCUAGUUGGCGGGGUAAAGGCCCACCAAGGCGACGAUCCGUAGCUGGUCUGAGAGGAUGAUCAGCCACACUGCAACUGAGACACGGUCCAGACUCCUACGAGAGGCAGCAGUGGGGAAUAUUCGACAAUGGGCGGAAGCCUGAUCCAGCCAUACCACGUCGGUGAAGAAGGCCUUCGGGUUGUAAAGCCCUUUUGUUGUGAAAGAAAAGCAGCAUGUUAAUACCCCGCUGUUCUGACGUUACCCAAAGAAUAAGCACCGGCUAACUUCGUG
This 492-nucleotide ribosomal RNA is filed under the name uncultured bacterium. RNAcentral's name for it is "partial 16S ribosomal RNA". It matches the Rfam family "Bacterial small subunit ribosomal RNA", at positions 29 to 507 of the family's 1533-position model. The record is from RNAcentral.